GCCAGGUGUGGUGGUGCACACCUGUAAUCCCAGAUACUUGGGAGGCUGAGGCAGAGGGAUUCCAAAUUAUAAGCCAGGCUGGACAACUUAGCAGGAUUCUAUCUCAA
RNAcentral lists this small RNA (107 nucleotides) under Marmota monax (woodchuck). The record is from RNAcentral. Lineage: Eukaryota; Metazoa; Chordata; Mammalia; Rodentia; Sciuridae.